UUUCCGUAGGUGAACCUGCGGAAGGAUCAUUACCAAUGGCCUUUGGGCCGUUCGAGAUACCACCCCUUGCAUUUUGAGUACCUUCUGUUUCCUCGGCGGGCUCGCCCGUCUCGAGGACCACACCAAACCCUUAUUGUAGUUGCAGUAAACGUCUCAAAACAAAUUAAUCAAAACUUUCAACAACGGAUCUCUUGGUUCUGGCAUCGAUGAAGAACGCAGC
Molecule: unclassified non-coding RNA, 220 nt
Filed under: uncultured fungus
Lineage: Eukaryota; Fungi
Description: sequence contains ITS1, 5.8S rRNA gene
Rfam family: 5.8S ribosomal RNA (bases 172-220)
Source: RNAcentral